CAAUAGCGUAUAUUAAAGUUGUUGCAGUUAAAAAGCUCGUAGUUGGAUUUCUGGUUGAAGCGACCGGUCGGGCGUUGAUUCGUCUGCACUGGAGUCGGUUUUGGCCAUCCUCUAGGAAAGUGCGUCUGGUAUUAAGUUAUCGGGCGUAUGAUCCUGGUCUUUUACUGUGAAAAAAUUAGAGUGUUUAAAGCAGGCCUUCGCCUUGAAUACAUUAGCAUGGAAUAAUAAGAUAGGACUUUGGUCUAUUUUGUUGGUUUGCAGACUGAAGUAAUGAUUAAUAGGGAUAGUUGGGGGUAUUUAUAUUCCGAUGUCAGAGGUGAAAUUCUUAGAUUUUCGGAAGAUAAACUUAUGCGAAAGCAUUUACCAAGGAUGUUUUCAUUAA
Molecule: ribosomal RNA, 382 nt
Filed under: uncultured eukaryote
Lineage: Eukaryota
Description: partial 18S ribosomal RNA
Rfam family: Eukaryotic small subunit ribosomal RNA
Source: RNAcentral